CCUACGGGAGACAGCAGUGAGGAAUAUUGGUCAAUGGACGAGAGUCUGAACCAGCCAAGUAGCGUGAAGGAUGACUGCCCUAUGGGUUGUAAACUUCUUUUAUAUGGGAAUAAAAUGAUCCACGUGUGGGAUUUUGUAUGUACCCUAUGAAUAAGGAUCGGCUAACUCCGUGCCAGCAGCCGCGGUAAUACGGAGGAUCCGAGCGUUAUCCGGAUUUAUUGGGUUUAAAGGGUGCGUAGGUGGGUUGUUAAGUCAGUUGUGAAAGUCUGCGGCUCAACCGUAAAAUUGCAGUUGAAACUGGCAGUCUUGAGUACAGGAGAGGUGGGCGGAAUGCGUGGUGUAGCGGUGAAAUGCUUAGAUAUCGCGAAGAACUCCGAUUGCGAAGGCAGCUCACUGGACUCACACUGACACUGAGGCACGAAAGUGUGGGUAUCAAACAGGAUUAGAUACCCGGGUAGUC
RNAcentral lists this ribosomal RNA (460 nucleotides) under uncultured bacterium. RNAcentral describes it as "partial 16S ribosomal RNA". It matches the Rfam family "Bacterial small subunit ribosomal RNA", at positions 338 to 795 of the family's 1533-position model. The record is from RNAcentral.